Molecule: ribosomal RNA, 460 nt
Filed under: uncultured bacterium
Lineage: Bacteria
Description: partial 16S ribosomal RNA
Rfam family: Bacterial small subunit ribosomal RNA
Source: RNAcentral
CCUACGGGGGGCAGCAGUGAGGCAUAUUGGUCAAUGGCCGAGAGUCUGAACCAGCCAAGUAGCGUGAAGGAUGACUGCCCUAUGGGUUGUAAACUUCUUUUAUAUGGGAAUAAAAUGUUCCACGUGUGGGAUUUUGUAUGUACCAUAUGAAUAAGGCUCGGCUAACUCCGUGCCAGCAGCCGCGGUAAUACGGAGGAUCCGAGCGUUAUCCGGAUUUAUUGGGUUUAACGGGAGCGUAGGUGGAUUGUUAAGUCAGUUGUGAAAGUUUGCGGCUCAACCGUAAAAUUGCAGUUGAAACUGGCAGUCUUGAGUGCAGUAGAGGUGGGCGGAAUGCGUGGUGUAGCGGUGAAAUGCUUAGAUAUCACGAAGAACUCCGAUUGCGAAGGCAGUUCACUGGACUGCAACUGACACUGAGGCUCGAAAGUGUGGGUAUCAAACAGGAUUAGAUACCCGUGUAGUC